This 84-nucleotide transfer RNA is filed under the name archaeon. RNAcentral's name for it is "tRNA-Leu". The record is from RNAcentral.
GCGGGGUUGCCCGAGAGGCCGAAGGGGCAGGGUUGAGGGCCCUGUGGCUUAGUGCCUUCAGCAGUUCGAAUCUGCUACCCCGCA